Molecule: ribosomal RNA, 504 nt
Filed under: uncultured bacterium
Lineage: Bacteria
Description: partial 16S ribosomal RNA
Rfam family: Bacterial small subunit ribosomal RNA
Source: RNAcentral
AUUGAACGCUGGCGGCAGGCCUAACACAUGCAAGUCGAGCGGUAGCGCAGAGAGCUUGCUCUCGGGUGACGAGCGGCGGACGGGUGAGUAAUGUCUGGGAAACUGCCUGAUGGAGGGGGAUAACUACUGGAAACGGUAGCUAAUACCGCAUAACGUCGCAGGACCAAAGUGGGGGACCUUCGGGCCGCAUGCCAUCAGAUGUGCCCAGAUGGGAUUAGCUAGUAGGUGGGGUAACGGCUCACCUAGGCGACGAUCCCUAGCUGGUCUGAGAGGAUGACCAGACACACUGGAACUGAGACACGGUCCAGACUCCUACGGGAGGCAGCAGUGGGGAAUAUUGCACAAUGGGCGCAAGCCUGAUGCAGCCAUGCCGCGUGUGUGAAGAAGGCCUUCGGGUUGUAAAGCACUUUCAGCGGGGAGGAAGGCGAUAAGGUUAAUAACCUUGUCGAUUGACGUUACCCGCAGAAGAAGCACCGGCUAACUCCGUGCCAGCAGCCGCCGUAA